UUGGAGCAUAUGGUGAUAGCUUUGUCUCC
Molecule: non-coding RNA, 29 nt
Filed under: Rattus norvegicus (Norway rat)
Lineage: Eukaryota; Metazoa; Chordata; Mammalia; Rodentia; Muridae
Source: RNAcentral